UACAGAGGUGGCAAGCGUUGUUCGGAAUUACUGGGCGUAAAGCGCGUGUAGGCGGCUCUUCAAGUCAGGCGUGAAAGCCCCGGGCUCAACUCGGGAACUGCGUUUGAUACUGUCGAGCUAGAGUGUGGAAGGGGCGAUUGGAAUUCCGUGUGUAGCGGUGAAAUGCGUAGAUAUACGGAGGAACACCAGAGGCGAAGGCGGAUCGCUGGGCCAACACUGACGCUGAUGUGCGAAAGCUAGGGGAGCAAACGGG
RNAcentral lists this ribosomal RNA (253 nucleotides) under uncultured bacterium. Its description in RNAcentral is "partial 16S ribosomal RNA". It matches the Rfam family "Bacterial small subunit ribosomal RNA", at positions 524 to 776 of the family's 1533-position model. The record is from RNAcentral.